GAGCGCCAGCGAGAGAGCGUUGCCGCAGGCAACGACCCGAAGGGCGAAGCGCGCAGCGCUGAGUAAUCCUUCCCCCACCACCA
RNAcentral lists this small RNA (83 nucleotides) under Escherichia coli. RNAcentral's name for it is "partial RtT sRNA". It matches the Rfam family "RtT RNA", at positions 50 to 130 of the family's 130-position model. From Rfam's summary of the family: This family represents a bacterial cis-regulatory element known as RtT RNA. The exact function of RtT is unknown although it is thought that it may be involved in changing the cellular response in relation to amino acid starvation. RNAcentral also lists the same sequence under 3 other names. The record is from RNAcentral. Lineage: Bacteria; Pseudomonadati; Pseudomonadota; Gammaproteobacteria; Enterobacterales; Enterobacteriaceae.